Molecule: microRNA precursor, 70 nt
Organism: Colobus angolensis palliatus
Lineage: Eukaryota; Metazoa; Chordata; Mammalia; Primates; Cercopithecidae
Source: Ensembl
GUUGUUGUAAACAUCCCCGACUGGAAGCUGUAAGACAUAGCUAAGCUUUCAGUCAGAUGUUUGCUGCUAC